This is a non-coding RNA of Ignavibacteria bacterium GWF2_33_9, 35 nucleotides long. Lineage: Bacteria; Pseudomonadati; Ignavibacteriota; Ignavibacteria. The record is from Rfam.
CAGGAGUAUGCCGAAAAUCCUUAAAAGAGUAGGCA